Molecule: ribosomal RNA, 292 nt
Filed under: uncultured bacterium
Lineage: Bacteria
Description: partial 16S ribosomal RNA
Rfam family: Bacterial small subunit ribosomal RNA
Source: RNAcentral
GUGCCAGCCGCCGCGGUAAAACGUAGGACGCGAGCGUUAUCCGGAGUUACUGGGCGUAAAGGGCGGGUAGGCGGUCAGUCAAGUUGGAUGUGAAAUCUCCCGGCUAAACUGGGAGGGGGCAUUCGAAACUGAUUGGCUAGAGGACAGCAGAGGGUCGCGGAAUUCCGGGUGGAGUGGUGAAAUGCGUAGAGAUCCGGAGGAACACCAGAGGCGAAAGCGGCGACCUGGGCUGUAACUGACGCUGAACCGCGAAAGCCAGGGGAGCGAACGGGAUUAGAUACCCUUGUAGUCC